RNAcentral lists this ribosomal RNA (443 nucleotides) under uncultured bacterium. Its description in RNAcentral is "partial 16S ribosomal RNA". It matches the Rfam family "Bacterial small subunit ribosomal RNA", at positions 338 to 795 of the family's 1533-position model. The record is from RNAcentral.
CCUACGGGAGGCAGCAGUGGGGAAUAUUGGACAAUGGGGGGAACCCUGAUCCAGCGACGCCGCGUGAGUGAAGGAGUAUUUCGGUAUGUAAAGCUCUAUCAGCAGGGAAGAAAGAAAUGACGGUACCUGACUAAGACGCCGCGGCUAACUACGUGCCAGCAGCCGCGGUAAUACGUAGGGGGCAAGCGUUAUCCGGAUUUACUGGGUGUAAAGGGAGCGUAGACGGCGAUGCAAGUCUGAAGUGAAAGGCGGGGGCCCAACCCCGGGACUGCUCUUGGAACUGCGUGGCUGGAGUGCAGGAGGGGCAGGCGGAAUUCCUGGUGUAGCGGUGAAAUGCGUAGAUAUCAGGAGGAACACCGGUGGCGAAGGCGGCCUGCUGGACUGCAACUGACGUUGAGGCCCGAAGGCGUGGGGAGCAAACAGGAUUAGAUACCCGGGUAGUC